GACGAACGCUGGCGGCGUGCUUAACACAUGCAAGUCGAACGGAAAGGCCCUGCUUUUGUGGGGUGCUCGAGUGGCGAACGGGUGAGUAACACGUGAGUAACCUGCCCUUGACUUUGGGAUAACUUCAGGAAACUGGGGCUAAUACCGGAUAGGAGCUCCUGCUGCAUGGUGGGGGUUGGAAAGUUUCGGCGGUUGGGGAUGGACCCGCGGCUUAUCAGCUUGUUGGUGGGGUAGUGGCUUACCAAGGCUUUGACGGGUAGCCGGCCUGAGAGGGUGACCGGCCACAUUGGGACUGAGAUACGGCCCAGACUCCUACGGGAGGCAGCAGUGGGGAAUAUUGCACAAUGGGCGGAAGCCUGAUGCAGCAACGCCGCGUGCGGGAUGACGGCCUUCGGGUUGUAAACCGCUUUCGCCUGUGACGAAGCGUGAGUGACGGUAAUGGGGAAAGAAGCACCGGCUAACUACGU
Molecule: ribosomal RNA, 467 nt
Filed under: uncultured bacterium
Lineage: Bacteria
Description: partial 16S ribosomal RNA
Rfam family: Bacterial small subunit ribosomal RNA
Source: RNAcentral